Molecule: ribosomal RNA, 436 nt
Filed under: uncultured bacterium
Lineage: Bacteria
Description: bacterial SSU rRNA
Rfam family: Bacterial small subunit ribosomal RNA
Source: RNAcentral
GGACGAACGCUGGCGGUGUGCUUCACACAUGCAAGUCGAACGAGGUAGCAAUACCUAGUGGCGGACGGGUGAGUAACGCGUGGGAAUCUGCCUUUAGAUGGGGGAUAACGGGUCGAAAGACUCGCUAAUACCGCAUAUGACGAAAGUUGAAAGGAGUAAUCCGUCUAAAGAUGAGCCCGCGUCCGAUUAGCUAGUUGGUAGAGUAAAAGCCUACCAAGGCGACGAUCGGUAGCUGGUCUGAGAGGAUGAUCAGCCACAAUGGGACUGAGACACGGCCCAUACUCCUACGGGAGGCAGCAGUGGGAAUUUACGCAAUGGGCGAAAGCCUGACGUAGCGACACCGCGUGAGCGAAGAAGCCCCUUGGGGUGUAAAGCUCUGUCAGCUGGAACGAAGAAAAUGACGGUACCAGCAGAGGAAGCAUCGGCUAACUACGUG